GUGGUUGUGGCUCAGUGGUAGAGUGCUCGCCUUGCACCCGUGAGGCACUGGGUUCAAACCUCAGCACCACA
Molecule: transfer RNA, 71 nt
Filed under: Marmota marmota marmota (Alpine marmot)
Lineage: Eukaryota; Metazoa; Chordata; Mammalia; Rodentia; Sciuridae
Also listed under: 1 other name
Rfam family: tRNA
About the family: Transfer RNA (tRNA) molecules are approximately 80 nucleotides in length.
Source: Rfam by way of RNAcentral